UAAUACGAAGGGUGCAAGCGUUAUCCGGAUUCAUUGGGUUUAAAGGGUGCGUAGGCGGAACAAUAAGUCAGCGGUGAAAUCCUGCAGCUCAACUGUAGAAUUGCCGUUGAUACUGUUGUUCUUGAGUACGCUUGACGUGGGCGGAAUGUGCCGUGUAGCGGUGAAAUGCUUAGAUAUGGCACAGAACACCGAUAGUGAAGACAGCUCACGAAGGCGAAACUGACGCUGAGGCACGAAAGCGUGGGGAUCAAACAGGAUUAGAUACCCUGGUAGUCCACGCCGUAAACGAUGAUCACUCGAGGUUGGCGAUAUACGGUCGGCCUCCUAGCGAAAGCGUUAAGUGAUCCACCUGGGGAGUACGAUCGCAAGAUUGAAACUCAAAUGAAUUGACGG
This 393-nucleotide ribosomal RNA is filed under the name uncultured bacterium. Its description in RNAcentral is "bacterial SSU rRNA". It matches the Rfam family "Bacterial small subunit ribosomal RNA", at positions 521 to 916 of the family's 1533-position model. The record is from RNAcentral.